CCGCUGAAGUUAGCAGCACAUUUUGCAGCAGCACAUUCCUCACUUCAAAUUGAUUAAAUUUUUGUGGUCGAAGCCUUAUAACAAGGGUGGGGCUGGAUUAGAACUCGGGUGGAGCUGGUUGCUGCGCUCGAGCGAUCAUAAUUACUGUUUAUACCGAUAGAUUAUAAGAUGUUCUUUUAUAGGACAAAAAGAGCAAGUCAAGAGAACACUUAAGCUACGUUAAAGAAUUAAUACAAAAGGACUAUCAGGCACCAUAGUAUCUAUGCAGGCACUUGACCAUAAGUGCAAGAUGAAGAUUGUUUACAUCACAUAUCUGAUAUCAUGAAUUGUGACAUUUUAAGCAUCAUUAUUUUAUUAUUAUUACUAUAUAAUGUUUUACAACACACAGGACAAGUGGAAGGGA
Molecule: long non-coding RNA, 403 nt
Organism: Amphimedon queenslandica
Lineage: Eukaryota; Metazoa; Porifera; Demospongiae; Haplosclerida; Niphatidae
Exons: 2
Source: RefSeq, a predicted model, not a curated record